UAAAGAUUCAUCGGCUGCGGAUGGCCAUGCGGCGCAUUAGCUAGUCGGCGGGGUAACGGCCCACCGAGGCGACGAUGCGUAGGGGUUCUGAGAGGAAGGUCCCCCACACUGGUACUGAGACACGGACCAGACUCCUACGGGAGGCAGCAGUGAGGAAUAUUGGUCAAUGGCCGGGAGGCUGAACCAGCCAAGUCGCGUGAGGGAAGACGGCCCUACGGGUUGUAAACCUCUUUUGUCAGGGAGCAAGAGGCGGGUCGGGACCUGCUGUGAGAGUACCUGAAGAAAAAGCAUCGGCUAACUCCGUGCCAGCAGCCGCGGUAAUACGGAGGAUGCGAGCGUUAUCCGGAUUUAUUGGGUUUAAAGGGUGCGCAGGCGGAGGCACAAGUCAGCGGUAAAAUCGCGGGGCUCAACCCCGCUCCGCCGUUGAAACUGUGUCCCUUGAGUGCGCGAAGGGUAGGCGGAAUGCGUGGUGUAGCGGUGAAAUGCAUAGAUAUCACGCAGAACUCCGAUCGCGAAGGCAGCCUACCGGCGCGCGACUGACGCUCAUGCACGAAAGCGUGGGUAUCGAACAGGAUUAGAUACCCUGGUAGUCCGCGCAGUAAACGAUGAAUGCUAUCUGUCCGGCCGGAAUGACGGCUGG
RNAcentral lists this ribosomal RNA (640 nucleotides) under uncultured bacterium. Its description in RNAcentral is "bacterial SSU rRNA". It matches the Rfam family "Bacterial small subunit ribosomal RNA", at positions 202 to 842 of the family's 1533-position model. The record is from RNAcentral.